RNAcentral lists this ribosomal RNA (506 nucleotides) under Scantius aegyptius. Its description in RNAcentral is "SSU rRNA". It matches the Rfam family "Eukaryotic small subunit ribosomal RNA", at positions 524 to 963 of the family's 1831-position model. The record is from RNAcentral. Lineage: Eukaryota; Metazoa; Arthropoda; Insecta; Hemiptera; Pyrrhocoridae.
AUCCUAAAUCCUUUAACGAGGAUCUAUUGGAGGGCAAGUCUGGUGCCAGCAGCCGCGGUAAUUCCAGCUCCAAUAGCGUAUAUUAAAGUUGUUGCGGUUAAAAAGCUCGUAGUUGGUUCUGCGUGCCACGCUGUCGGUUCACCGCCUGUCGGUGCAACUGGCAUGCCGUGGCAUGUCCUGUCGGUGGGGGAUAGGYUUCKCAGMGGUACCUACCKCCAGGUAGGCCGUCGCGUUGUCCUUGUACGCCGGCUCAAUCCUGCCGCGGUGCUCUUUACCGAGUGUCGAGGUAGGCCGACACAUUUUACUUUGAACAAAUUAGAGUGCUUAAAGCAGGCUCUUAAAUCAGCCUGAAUAGUGGUGCAUGGAAUAAUGGAACAGGACCUUGGUUCUAUUUUGUUGGUUUUAGGAAUCCAAGGUAAUGAUCAAUAAGGACAGGCGGGGGCAUUCGUAUUGCGACGUUAGAGGUGAAAUUCUUGGAUCGUCGCAAGACGCACUAGAGCGAAAGC